GAGGGCAUAGCUCAGUGGUAGAGUGCAUGCUUAGCAUGCACAAGGUCCUGGGUUCAAUGCCCAAUACUUCCA
This 72-nucleotide transfer RNA is filed under the name Camelus bactrianus (Bactrian camel). It matches the Rfam family "tRNA". From Rfam's summary of the family: Transfer RNA (tRNA) molecules are approximately 80 nucleotides in length. Their secondary structure includes four short double-helical elements and three loops (D, anti-codon, and T loops). The record is from Rfam by way of RNAcentral. Lineage: Eukaryota; Metazoa; Chordata; Mammalia; Artiodactyla; Camelidae. RNAcentral also lists the same sequence under 2 other names.